AUCCAGCCGACGAGUCCCAAAUAGGACCAAACGUGCGUCCUGGAC
Schistosoma haematobium is the source of this 45-nucleotide non-coding RNA. The record is from Rfam. NCBI's taxonomy places the organism in Eukaryota, Metazoa, Platyhelminthes, Trematoda, Strigeidida, Schistosomatidae.